Molecule: ribosomal RNA, 125 nt
Filed under: Planctomycetota bacterium
Lineage: Bacteria; Pseudomonadati; Planctomycetota
Description: Planctomycetes bacterium (hydrothermal vent metagenome) partial 23S ribosomal RNA
Rfam family: Bacterial large subunit ribosomal RNA
Source: RNAcentral
CAAGAUGAGGUCUCGUUGGACGACAGUCCUGAAGCCCCCUGGAAGACGACCAGGUUGAUAGGCCGGAUGUGUAAGGCGGGUAACCGUCUUAGCUAACCGGUACUAACGGGCGAAAGCUUGGCCAC